UCCGGUUUGUCACCGGCAGUCACUCUAGAGUGCCCAUCCGAAAUGCUGGCAACUAAAGUCAAGGGUUGCGCUCGUUGCGGGACUUAACCCAACAUCUCACGACACGAGCUGACGACAACCAUGCACCACCUGUCUCCUCUGUCCCGAAGGAAAGGUACAUCUCUGUACCGGUCAGAGGGAUGUCAAGACCUGGUAAGGUUCUUCGCGUUGCUUCGAAUUAAACCACAUGCUCCGCUGCUUGUGCGGGGCCCCGUCAAUUCCUUUGAGUUUCAGCCUUGCGGCCGUACUCCCCAGGCGGGGCACUUAAUGCGUUAGCGCCGGCACCCGGGGGGUCGCUCCCCCAGGCACCUAGUGCCCAUCGUUUACGGCGUGGACUAC
RNAcentral lists this unclassified non-coding RNA (378 nucleotides) under uncultured Bacillota bacterium. RNAcentral's name for it is "uncultured Firmicutes bacterium contains 16S-23S intergenic spacer region". The record is from RNAcentral. Lineage: Bacteria; Bacillati; Bacillota.